This 1019-nucleotide ribosomal RNA is filed under the name Salmonella enterica. Its description in RNAcentral is "bacterial SSU rRNA". It matches the Rfam family "Bacterial small subunit ribosomal RNA", at positions 114 to 1129 of the family's 1533-position model. The record is from RNAcentral. Lineage: Bacteria; Pseudomonadati; Pseudomonadota; Gammaproteobacteria; Enterobacterales; Enterobacteriaceae.
UGUCUGGGAAACUGCCUGAUGGAGGGGGAUAACUACUGGAAACGGUGGCUAAUACCGCAUAACGUCGCAAGACCAAAGAGGGGGACCUUCGGGCCUCUUGCCAUCAGAUGUGCCCAGAUGGGAUUAGCUUGUUGGUGAGGUAACGGCUCACCAAGGCGACGAUCCCUAGCUGGUCUGAGAGGAUGACCAGCCACACUGGAACUGAGACACGGUCCAGACUCCUACGGGAGGCAGCAGUGGGGAAUAUUGCACAAUGGGCGCAAGCCUGAUGCAGCCAUGCCGCGUGUAUGAAGAAGGCCUUCGGGUUGUAAAGUACUUUCAGCGGGGAGGAAGGUGUUGUGGUUAAUAACCGCAGCAAUUGACGUUACCCGCAGAAGAAGCACCGGCUAACUCCGUGCCAGCAGCCGCGGUAAUACGGAGGGUGCAAGCGUUAAUCGGAAUUACUGGGCGUAAAGCGCACGCAGGCGGUCUGUCAAGUCGGAUGUGAAAUCCCCGGGCUCAACCUGGGAACUGCAUUCGAAACUGGCAGGCUUGAGUCUUGUAGAGGGGGGUAGAAUUCCAGGUGUAGCGGUGAAAUGCGUAGAGAUCUGGAGGAAUACCGGUGGCGAAGGCGGCCCCCUGGACAAAGACUGACGCUCAGGUGCGAAAGCGUGGGGAGCAAACAGGAUUAGAUACCCUGGUAGUCCACGCCGUAAACGAUGUCUACUUGGAGGCUGUGCCCUUGAGGCGUGGCUUCCGGAGCUAACGCGUUAAGUAGACCGCCUGGGGAGUACGGCCGCAAGGUUAAAACUCAAAUGAAUUGACGGGGGCCCGCACAAGCGGUGGAGCAUGUGGUUUAAUUCGAUGCAACGCGAAGAACCUUACCUGGUCUUGACAUCCACAGAAGUUUGCAGAGAUGCGAAUGUGCCUUCGGGAACUGUGAGACAGGUGCUGCAUGGCUGUCGUCAGCUCGUGUUGUGAAAUGUUGGGUUAAGUCCCGCAACGAGCGCAACCCUUAUCCUUUGUUGCCAGCGGUUAGG